This is a long non-coding RNA of Lathyrus oleraceus (garden pea), 711 nucleotides long. RefSeq lists it as uncharacterized. NCBI's taxonomy places the organism in Eukaryota, Viridiplantae, Streptophyta, Magnoliopsida, Fabales, Fabaceae. The transcript is spliced from 2 exons. The record is from RefSeq and is a predicted model, not a curated record.
AAAAAAACAUAAAACCCACCACCAAAAUUGCUUCUCUCUUAUCUUCUCUCAAAAUAAAACCUUCAUAAAUUCAUACAUCGGUCAAUCAUGUUAGGUCAAUCAUAGAAGCCAUGGAUAUCGUUGGAAAAUCAAUUAGGUGGACACGUUUUGGAAAUUUUCUUGGUAAACAAACACAAGACCAAGAACCUUAAACUCUCAAUCACCACUGGAAGAAGAUUCAACCACCAUCUUCCUCCCCAGCCACCAUUUCGCGCAUCUUUACCCAUCGGUUUUCACCUACAAGAAACUACUCUCAUCCACUAACGACUUCGACCCUAACUGAAAAAUCGGCGAUGGCGAAACACCUUCAUGAUUCCUGUAGUGAUCCUUAUGGAUUGAUUCUCGUUCGCGAUUACGUUCCAAGCAGAACCCUAGCAGAACAUAUUCACAGUUCAAAGAGUAAACGAAAUGGUUAUAAGAUGACGUGACAAAAGAGACUUGAUAUCACAAUCUCUUUUGGAAUUUCUAUAUAUAUUUGAUAUUGCAAAUCACUGGUAGCUUAUAUUUCUAUAUUCUUCAUUUCUUUAUCCUUUCCCUGUUUGGACUUUCUGGGUUUUUUUAUAGAGUUUUUUUUCUUGAGUUUUAUGAGUUUAAAGAGUGUGAUUUAUGUGUUUUUUUCUUGCAUAAAAGGUGUAUAUGGAUAUAUAAAUAAAUUUGCAUUACUUACUAUCA